UCCUGGGACUGGGGCGGAGCCGCCUCCAGGUGCCGUCGCGGCUCCUCGCUGCUGAUCGCGGGCCAGGCCGAGCCGGGCUGGGCGGGCAGCGCCGCCCCCGCAGGACUACAGGGCUGCUGCGCCCGCGGAGCGGCAGGAUUUAACAGGAACAUAUGUAAAGAUCUCAAAGAAACAGAGAAAAAAACCCUAGUGCACGUAGCUACAGGAGGAUUUAACAAGCAGAUCUGGAUGGAGCUGUGCUGGUGCCCGAGAACCUUACUGUCAUCAGAGCACUUUUCUGCCUCUCAGGAGCACACUCUACUAAAUCAAGGUACUUCCAAAUGAAAACAACCAAAAACCCUGCUGAAGCCUGACCAUACACCCCCUCGUCACCUGCAAGAACCGAUAGGCCAGAGAUCCGGCUCUCCGGCUGCAGCACGCGCUGCCCACCGUUGUCCACAGAUGGCAGUAACGAUGGUGAUGAGACCUGCAGACCUCUUGCUACUUCCCGAAAGUUUCUUUGUUAGUGAAUAUUGACAUCACUUCAGCAAUUAUCUAAAUCCCUAUGUACAGAAAGUCAUCAGCAAAUUAAA
Chroicocephalus ridibundus (black-headed gull) is the source of this 572-nucleotide long non-coding RNA. RefSeq lists it as uncharacterized. The transcript has 4 exons. The record is from RefSeq and is a predicted model, not a curated record. NCBI's taxonomy places the organism in Eukaryota, Metazoa, Chordata, Aves, Charadriiformes, Laridae.